Molecule: ribosomal RNA, 242 nt
Filed under: Methanomassiliicoccales archaeon
Lineage: Archaea; Methanobacteriati; Thermoplasmatota; Thermoplasmata; Methanomassiliicoccales
Description: partial 16S ribosomal RNA
Rfam family: Archaeal small subunit ribosomal RNA
Source: RNAcentral
ACCCAAUCGUAGUUCGGAUUGAGGGUUGUAACUCACCCUCAUGAAGCUGGAUUCCGUAGUAAUCGCUUGUCAACAUCAAGCGGUGAAUAUGCCCCUGCUCCUUGCACACACCGCCCGUCAAACCACCCGAGUUGGGUUUCAGUAAGGAUAUCUCAUUUUGGGGUCUUCGAACUGAGAUUCAGCAAGGAGGGUUAAGUCGUAACAAGGUAUCUGUAGGGGAACCUGCAGAUGGAUCACCUCCU